UUUUGCUACUCUAUUUCUGUGUGUGAUUUUUUUAUCUGACCAGAGCAUAGUUUAUGGCAUUGAAUUUCCGCUGCAAUUGUGUUCGCUGAUUUUCAACUCUGUUUAGCUUUCUCUUUUCUUUUAUACGGAAAAAGGACGAAACACAAGGAGAACGCUGCAGUUUCCAUGGGCUUCUUUUUCACAAAGCCCGACUUUACGGAAGUUGGGAGACUCUGCACGGUGAAAUGCUGGUUCUUG
RNAcentral lists this unclassified non-coding RNA (237 nucleotides) under Hevea brasiliensis (rubber tree). The record is from RNAcentral. Lineage: Eukaryota; Viridiplantae; Streptophyta; Magnoliopsida; Malpighiales; Euphorbiaceae.